GGGUUUUCCAAAUAUACAGUAGCAUGAUCUUCAAAGAUUUGUGUCUCAUAUUUUAUUCUCAUACUUAUUUUGUUUUAGAAAUUUACUGCUGAUUCCCAUGGGGAAAUAAAGCUCCUGGUUUAUAACUUCUGACCCCAUCUGAGAUGUUAGGAACUUUAUCCUCAUUUGCUGAAUGAAGUUCCACAACUACUUACAAAAUGGGUUCUUCCUGCAGAGUUGCAAGAUGGUUUCCAGUAAGUCCCAGAUUUGAUGCUUCAAAUUUUAACUACCAAGGCUACUGGAGAUAUUGCUUUGAAGAAAGAUUGCAAAUUGAUGGUCAUUCUUCUCAUAUAAUCUUUCUCCAGAAGGAAUUAUUUACACUGAAAAUUUUUUGGAGAAUAGAAAAAGCUUCUGAGGACAAAUGAAUAGAAGUAAAUGUUGGUUAAAGAAGAAAGCUAAUUAUUUUUCUUAGCUGUGGAACUUUUAGGUGUUUAUGAAAUGCUAAUAUAGGUUGUGAAUCUUUAAGAGGAUGACAUCCUAUUGACAAAAGAAAAUCUACCAACCGCUCAAGAAAGCUGUGUGCGCCAGAGAAAAUUUUGCAAAAAUCUUUCCUGGAAAAAGGAAGGACAUUUCAAUCUGUUGAGUUUUUCUUGACGUUGAUGGGAAUGGUAAACAGCUGGGGUCUGGAUGGCACACCAUGGGAUCACAAUCAAAAGGUCGAAAAUGAUACCAUUAAA
RNAcentral lists this long non-coding RNA (716 nucleotides) under Vulpes vulpes (red fox). Its description in RNAcentral is "lncRNA (ENSVVUG00000014423.1)". Lineage: Eukaryota; Metazoa; Chordata; Mammalia; Carnivora; Canidae. The record is from RNAcentral.